This 208-nucleotide unclassified non-coding RNA is filed under the name Hevea brasiliensis (rubber tree). The record is from RNAcentral. Lineage: Eukaryota; Viridiplantae; Streptophyta; Magnoliopsida; Malpighiales; Euphorbiaceae.
AAGGGGGAAAAAAAAAAACAUUUUUCACAUAUUUUGUACAUACAACAUAAAGCAAUUAGGAAAUGAAUAAAAGAAGAACAAGGAAAAAACAUCAUCAUAUUGCAAAAUAUAUAACUACUACAUUGCCUCUUGUAUUUGAAUGAUUUUGAACGAGUUUGUCCCGCAUAAAAAGCAGAAAUUUCUUAGAGUACAACUCAACUCAACUCAA